This 180-nucleotide ribosomal RNA is filed under the name uncultured Glomeromycotina. RNAcentral's name for it is "partial small subunit ribosomal RNA". Lineage: Eukaryota; Fungi; Glomeromycota. The record is from RNAcentral.
GACCUGGCCGGGUGGUCUUGCCGAAAGGUAAGCACUGCUUUUGGUCGGGUCUUUCCUUCUGGGGAACCAGCGUGCGCUUGAUUGAGUGCGUUGGGGAUCCAGGACUUUUACUUUGAAAAAAUUAGAGUGUUUAAAACAGGCUUAUGCUUGAAUAGAUUAGCAUGGAAUAACGGAAUAGGA